GACGAACGCUGGCGGCGCGCUUAACACAUGCAAGUCGAACGGAAAGGCCUGCUUUCCCUUGUGGAUUGCGGGUACUCGAGUGGCGAACGGGUGAGUAACACGUGAGUGAUCUGCCCCCAACUUGGGUAUAAGCCUGGGAAACUGGGUCUAAUUCCCGAUAGGACUGCAGGGUGGUGCCUGUGGUGGAAAACGAUUUUCUAGUGGUUGGGGAUGAGCUCGCGGCCUAUCAGCUUGUUGGUGGGGUAAUGGCCUACCAAGGCGGCGACGGGUAGCCGGCCUGGGAGGGUGGACGGGCACAUUGGGACGGAGAUACGGCCCAGACUCCUACGGGAGGCAGCAGUGGGGAAUAUUGCACAAUGGGCGGAAGCCUGAUGCAGCGACGCCGCGUGGGGGAUGACGGGCUUCGGGUGGUAAACUCCUUUCGACCGCGAGGAAGCCACCUGGUUGGAAGGGUGGUGACGGUAGUGGUAGAAGAAGCACCGGCUAACUACGUG
RNAcentral lists this ribosomal RNA (494 nucleotides) under uncultured bacterium. RNAcentral describes it as "partial 16S ribosomal RNA". It matches the Rfam family "Bacterial small subunit ribosomal RNA", at positions 28 to 507 of the family's 1533-position model. The record is from RNAcentral.